Heteronotia binoei (common prickly gecko) is the source of this 397-nucleotide long non-coding RNA. RefSeq lists it as uncharacterized. NCBI's taxonomy places the organism in Eukaryota, Metazoa, Chordata, Lepidosauria, Squamata, Gekkonidae. The record is from RefSeq and is a predicted model, not a curated record. The transcript has 3 exons.
AGAGUACUUCCAUAGUGUUUUUUAAAGAAGUUGUACAGCAUAUAACACGGGCUGCUAGAAUUUUUCGACAAGAAGGUGGUCACAUGACAAUGGUUGGUCUGGAUGGAUCUGGGAAAUCAGCCUGUGCAUCCUUAGCCUGUUACUUAUCCUCAUGUUGCCUCUUCAAGUUAUCUAUUUCCCGUAAUUACAAUCAUGUAAAUUUUAGAGAUGAUCUUAAAAAAGUCUAUAAGCAGGCAGGUCUGGAAGGCAAAAGGACUGUUCUUCGCAUCAAUGACUCAGACAUAAUUCAAGAGUCAUUUUUAGAAGACUUGAGUUGCAUUCUGAACUCAGGACAAGUGCCUGAAUUAUUUCAGAAAGAGGAAUUGGAUAAUAUUAUUGUAACACUUGCACCUGUUGC